UGCCAACAUCCCCGACAGAAGUUUUCUGCAUCCUCUGGGAUCCGCAGGCUUGAGUAUUCCCCGGAAUUGGCCCAGGUCCACGCAGUCCAUCCUCUCUGGCCGCAGCAGCACGAAGCCCAUGGGGUUUUACAAGGUCCCAAGACAUGUGGGCAUGUGACCCAGGCUCCGCAAACCAGAGGCUCUUGCAUCUGAAAUCUUGAGGGGGUAUCCGAAGACAUGGAGACGUCAAAGAUUAUUGAUGGCAGUGGUAGGAUGGAGACUCCAGGGGUGUGAGAGCAAAGUUGUAUUGGUGGGACUUCCCUGGUGGUCCAGUGGUGAAGAAUCUGCCUCC
Molecule: long non-coding RNA, 331 nt
Organism: Balaenoptera musculus (blue whale)
Lineage: Eukaryota; Metazoa; Chordata; Mammalia; Artiodactyla; Balaenopteridae
Exons: 3
Source: RefSeq, a predicted model, not a curated record